RNAcentral lists this ribosomal RNA (605 nucleotides) under uncultured bacterium. RNAcentral describes it as "bacterial SSU rRNA". It matches the Rfam family "Bacterial small subunit ribosomal RNA", at positions 582 to 1187 of the family's 1533-position model. The record is from RNAcentral.
GUUAAGUCAGUGGGUGAAAGUCUUCCGCUCAACGGGAGAACUGCCAUUGAUACUGAUUGUCUUGAGUUAUUAUGAAGUGGUUAGAAUGAGUAGUGUAGCGGUGAAAUGCAUAGAUAUUACUCAGAAUACCGAUUGCGAAGGCAGAUCACUAAUAAUAUACUGACGCUGAUGGACGAAAGCGUAGGUAGCGAACAGGAUUAGAUACCCUGGUAGUCUACGCCGUAAACGAUGGUUACUAGCUGUUCGGCCCGAUUAAGGGCUGAGUGGUUAAGCGAAAGUGAUAAGUAACCCACCUGGGGAGUACGUUCGCAAGAAUGAAACUCAAAGGAAUUGACGGGGGCCCGCACAAGCGGUGGAGCAUGUGGUUUAAUUCGAUGAUACGCGAGGAACCUUACCAGGGCUUAAAUGUAGUCUGACAGGUCUGGAAACAGACUUUUCUUCGGACAGAUUACAAGGUGCUGCAUGGUUGUCGUCAGCUCGUGCCGUGAGGUGUCAGGUUAAGUCCUAUAACGAGCGCAACCCCUGUGGUUAGUUGCCAGCGAGUAAUGUCGGGAACUCUAGCCAGACUGCCGGUGCAAACCGCGAGGAAGGUGGGGAUGACGUCA